UGUGGGUGUGACUUUUCCACUGCUGCAGAGCGAGACUAGCAGGUGCUGCUUCACCCGUUGCUGCUCAUUUUAGCUCAUCAGGAGGCAAUAUUUAAGGAGCGGCAGAACUAGAGAGGAAUUGCCAGAUAUUUUGAUUCUCCGGAGUCUUACACAGCUUCCUGGAAGCCACUUCUCUACCUGUCUGCCCUCCAUCACUGACAGCCACAGGACUUAUCGAGAAACAACUUAAAAAGGAAGAAUACAAACCCCAUCAUGCCCUUUGCUAACCUCAGCCACACAGUACCGACUCUUCAACGAUCUACCAUCAUUUCACCAAGAAAGACUAAGAAAAACAAUAACAGAAAGAUUCUCCUCUUCUGCACAUUUCCAUCCUCACACCAGAACCAGACCAAUCUAUCCAUCCUUCCCUCUUGCCACCUGCACAGAGAAGCUCCUGUGGAUCAAGAAGUAAAAACAAAGUAUUAUUUUUACUAUUAUUUCUGUCAGUAAUAAACUCUUUUAUUUGA
This is a long non-coding RNA of Xiphophorus maculatus (southern platyfish), 506 nucleotides long. RefSeq lists it as uncharacterized. The transcript has 2 exons. The record is from RefSeq and is a predicted model, not a curated record. NCBI's taxonomy places the organism in Eukaryota, Metazoa, Chordata, Actinopteri, Cyprinodontiformes, Poeciliidae.